AUCACUAGCCUCUCUCCUCCGCAUCUUCAAUGAAAGCUUCGCCUCGUCUGGAUCACUCUCAUACUCCACCUCCGGCGCCAUCUGCUUUCCACUCAUAAAUCAAGCAAAACAAAUAAAAACAAAAAUCUUUCACAUUACUCACUCAAACAUCAAUAAAAAUUCACUUUAUAAUUUGUUCCGAAAUCGAUACAAUAACAGAUUUAGGGACUUGAUCUGAGAUUUUAACAACAGUAAGGUCUAUGAGCGGAAAUCCCUAAAUUAUUAUUAUUAUUAUUUAUUUUUCGAUACAUUUCAAUGGGGGAUUUUUUUGGGGAAAAAGAUAUAUGUACACAAUACAAUCGAAUCUUAUACAAAAUGUCGACAUGUCUUGUAGUCAAAAUACCGGCAGCCCAUUCAAUUCCAAAAUACCAUGAAAAUCUCGCCAGCUCACAAAUUAAUUGAAUAAACCCCCAAAAUUGGCCAAAAGCACUCUGUCCCAAAUCAAACCCUCCCCUUCAUCUUGUACUCCCCUCUCAAGAUCCGUACCUCCAAGGUUCAACUAGAGAAAUCUCGUCGGCACAUCUACCUCCGACUGUUGACACAUAAAAAUUCAGUCCAAAUCGAACAGCUCAAGGAGUGAAACCCAAUUGGAGGAUCCCCAAAUCAGAUAGCCCAACGAACGAAGCCCAAUCAAACAAA
This 678-nucleotide long non-coding RNA is filed under the name Olea europaea subsp. europaea. Lineage: Eukaryota; Viridiplantae; Streptophyta; Magnoliopsida; Lamiales; Oleaceae. The record is from RNAcentral.